This is a long non-coding RNA of Engraulis encrasicolus (European anchovy), 627 nucleotides long. RefSeq lists it as uncharacterized. The record is from RefSeq and is a predicted model, not a curated record. The transcript has 4 exons. NCBI's taxonomy places the organism in Eukaryota, Metazoa, Chordata, Actinopteri, Clupeiformes, Engraulidae.
CCACUGUUCCCCUGCAAUCCAAGCAACUGUUUCUGAAUUGGCUGAUUUGUACAAGACGCACCAUUUCUGAGGACUUCUGGCACAGUGGCCUGCUCUGUUCAAAGUUCGCAAGAUCAGUGCUGAAUUGAAAAGAAUCACCACAGUCCCAGUGCAAUGGCCUGCACUGUUCGAAGUCCACAAGGUCAUGGAUGAAGUUGCCGUAGACGAAGCAAUUGAAGACAUCACUAUUGGAAUCUGCUCUGACAGAAGAUUGGGCAUCCCAACCUUUGGACAUUGUCAGUUUUAGUGUAUGUCAGUCACACACGUGACACCCAAUCGGAAAGGACUUUUUUUCAGCAACUAAAAAACAGCAGUUAUUUUUGUUUCUUUAAGUGAAAUGUACCUUUUUUCUAGAGAUCUAUUUGCUUGUAUGCCCUUCCAGCUCCUUGCUGGUUUUAAGAAUAGCACUUGAGUGUGCAUAUGUUUUGUACAUACUGUGUUGAUUUUGACCCAAACUAAAGACAAACAAAAUACCAAGACUAGACUUAAAUAAGACUGGGUAAUAACACAAAUGUGGUCACCAAAGAGGACAACCGAAUGAAUGGUGGACUGCCAGAUGCACGCGCACAUGCAUACGUGCACAUGCAU